RNAcentral lists this ribosomal RNA (2520 nucleotides) under Triticum aestivum (bread wheat). RNAcentral describes it as "partial small subunit ribosomal RNA". Lineage: Eukaryota; Viridiplantae; Streptophyta; Magnoliopsida; Poales; Poaceae. The record is from RNAcentral.
AUGGCCUCGGCGACUCCGGCAGGCGGCGAUGGCCUGGGCGAUGCGAGCGGCGGCGACCUCCCCCGCUUCGAUGGCAGUGGCGGCUACUCCAGCUCGGAGUACAGUAGCGCGGAGGAAGAUUUUGCGGAGCCGGCGUUGUCGAUGGAGCAGAGGCUGCGGAUGGCGCGAAUUUGGGUGGACAACCCUAGCACCGCCCAUCACUGGACUCAUGGCUUCGGUGGUGUUCUUUUGUAUGAUGACAUUUUGGAUGUUAGGUUCUUUUUUGAUGCUUCAGAAAUGUUAGAGCUGAAGCUCUGCAGUUCAGAUGUAACAUACCUGAAUAUGAUUGCAGUGAUGGAAACCCAAGGAUUUAGUGAAUAUGAUCUGCUGUUUCACAUUGAGAAUCCAGAUUUAGGGGAGAAAGGAUUGGAGAUGGUAGAGAGUAAUGCUGAGUUGCAACUAGUAAAGAGGCAGGUUGAGGAGUGUAAGGUUUUAAAUUUGCUAGUGAGGGCAUGUCCACCUCCUUGCAGCAAGUUUCAGAGGCAAGAAUUAUCCACUGUUGUGUAUGAAGAGCCUGUGUUAUAUGAUCUCAGUGAGCCACCCAUCUAUGCUGUUGAUGAAGAAGGAGUUGCCUUUGAAAGUCAGAGUAGCAGCUGCAGUUUAGUAGCUCAUGGUGAAGAUGACAGUGAUGUAAACCCUUUUUAUAUGGGUGAUGCUGAUGACAUAGAGAUGGAUGAGGGAAAGAAACAGAGAGAGUAUGAUGAAGUAGAAGAGGAAGAAACAGAUGAUGAAGAAUCUGAGGAGGAAGAAAUGGUGCAUUACUCUGGUGACACAGAGGUUGAGGAACCUUUUGAAAUGGAUGAAGAUGACAAGGUUGUUUCACAGGAUGAAGAAACUGUAAUUGUACAUGAAGAGAAGAAGAAGAAGAAACAGAAGCUUCCAGUUAGGAAAGGGCCUACAACAAGGACACAUUCAAGUGUAGUUCAAGAGGAGGAACCUGAUUUCCAACCUUCAUCUGAUGAAGAAGAGAAAGGAUUGUUGAAGGAGGCUGAUGAUGAUGGUUAUGAGCCAUUGGCAUUUGUGCUGCCAAAGAAAAGGAAGAGCAGGGCAAAGCAGAGGCCUCCUAGAAAAUGGUACAAUGAGAAAAUGGAGGCACCACAUGAGCAAUUAUGUCUACAGAUGUGUUUCAAGGAUCAACAUCAAUUCAGAGAGGCUUUGUUGAACUUACACAUCACUCAAGGCAGAAACUUCAAAUAUCAUAGGAACUCAGAUCAAAGAAUAAUUGUAGAAUGCAACCAAAAACAUUGCAACUUCUUUAUGGUGGCAGCAGUUAUAAAAGGUGAAACUACUUUUGUAAUUAAGAAGAUGAGAAUUAAGCACACUUGCCCUAUUAGUACAGAGACAACAAGGGUAAGUGCCAAGUGGCUUGCACAGAAGUAUGAGUCACUGUUCAGAUCUGAUCUAACAACUGUCAUUCAGACUUUGAUUGAUGCCUGCAUGGAGAAGUAUGGUGUGGAUGUGCCCAAGUCAAUGGCAUAUAGGGCAAAGAACCUAGCUAUUGAUGCUGUGCUAGGAGACCACAAGAAGCAAUACCCUAGGUUGAAAGACUAUACUCAGACAGUGAUGGAUACAAACCCUGGGAGUAGAGUAGUAGUCACUACUGUAACUCCAACACCCACUGAAAAAAUCCCCCAUCCAGGUCCAAGAUUCCAUGCUAUGUUCUAUUGCAUCAAUGGAGCAAGGGAGGGGUUUCUCAAGGGGUGCAGACCAUUCAUUGGGGGGGAAGAUCUGAAAAAGUGUAUGGAUAAUGCUGCCUAUGCAUAUAGUGAACACAAAUUUAACAUUGCAAUGAAUGACCUUAGAGCUGAGUGUGAGCAAGCUUGGGAGUGGCUUUGUCAAAUUCCCAAGAAAACAUGGGCAAGGCAUGCAUUUGACACAAACUGCAAGACUGACCUUGUAGUUAACAAUUUAUCUGAGGUGUUCAACAAGUAUGUCCUAGAUGUUAGGAAGAAACCAAUUAGGACAAUGUGUGAUGGAAUAAAGGAUAAGCAGAUGGUGAGGUGGCAUAGGAAUAGGGAGAGUGGAAAGAAAGCUAGAUGGGACAUAACACCCCAUUAUAGUGAGAAGCUAGAGGUUGAGAAGGAGAGGGCCAAAUAUUGCAAACCAAUUCAAGAUGGUGUGGACUUGUGGCAAGUUACAAGUGGGCAGCAAACCCAUGCUGUUAACUUGCAAAUGCACACAUGUGGGUGCAGAAAAUGGGACCUAAGUGGCAUCCCAUGUAACCAUGCCAUCUCAGCAAUAAACAAGGCAAAAAGAAAACCAGAGGAUUAUGUCAGCAAGUUCUUCAAGAAAGAAAUUUAUCUGGAAGCUUAUGAACCAAUGAUCUAUCCAGUUCCUGGUGAGCAUGACUGGACAAGGACCCCUGGUCCAGACAUUGACCCACCUGCAUUUAAAGUGAAGAGAGGAAGAAAGAAAGAGAAGAGGAUCAAGGGGAAAUUUGAAGUUCCAAAGCCUAAGGAGACAUCAAGAUGGGGACUAUAA